This 431-nucleotide ribosomal RNA is filed under the name uncultured bacterium. RNAcentral describes it as "partial 16S ribosomal RNA". It matches the Rfam family "Bacterial small subunit ribosomal RNA", at positions 29 to 507 of the family's 1533-position model. The record is from RNAcentral.
AACGAACGCUGGCGGCAGGCCUAACACAUGCAAGUCGAGCGCGCCUUCGGGUGUGCGGCGGACGGGUGAGUAACGCGUCGGAAUAUGCCCUUCUCUACGGCAUAGUCCUGGGAAACUGGGGGUAAUACCGUAUACGCCCUUUGGGGGGAAGAUUUAUCGGGGAAGGAUUAGCCCGCGUUGGAUUAGGUAGUUGGUGGGGUAAUGGCCUACCAAGCCGACGAUCCAUAGCUGGUUUGAGAGGAUGAUCAGCCACACUGGGACUGAGACACGGCCCAGACUCCUACGGGAGGCAGCAGUGGGGAAUCUUAGACAAUGGGGGCAAACCUGAUCUAGCCAUGCCGCGUGAGUGAUGAAGGGCUUAGUGUUGUAAAGCUCUUUCAGCUGGGAAGAUAAUGACGGUACCAGCAGAAGAAGCCCCGGCUAACUCCGUG